AUUUGUAGUCGCGGCGACUAAAAAAUCGCUGUCGCAGAAAAUCUGGUGGGAGUGGUGGGUGCCUCCACUUGCGAUUUUUACUUAAGUCGCAGAAUUACAUCAGUCUUGCAAUGGAUAACAUCGAAACUACUUGUGCUAUCGCUCUUUUGCUUCGGGAGAGAAGUAAACGAUCGUUGUGGUCCACAUCAACAAAGAGUAGAAUGUAAGUCUUGUUGCAAAGAACCAACCUGCCAACACAAAAGCCCUCCCAAAUGUACCCACGUUUGCCCUCUAGUAUGCCUUCCCGGAUGUGAAUGUUUACCAGGAUAUAUCAGACUUACAGAAGAUGGGCCUUGUGUGAAACAUUGUUAAAAAAGUUACCUAGACAGUAAACAACAAUAAAUGUAAUUGAACCAA
Molecule: RNA transcript, 396 nt
Organism: Diabrotica virgifera virgifera (western corn rootworm)
Lineage: Eukaryota; Metazoa; Arthropoda; Insecta; Coleoptera; Chrysomelidae
Gene name: chymotrypsin inhibitor-like
Exons: 2
Source: RefSeq, a predicted model, not a curated record